Molecule: non-coding RNA, 706 nt
Organism: Heterocephalus glaber (naked mole-rat)
Lineage: Eukaryota; Metazoa; Chordata; Mammalia; Rodentia; Bathyergidae
Source: RefSeq, a predicted model, not a curated record
UAGGAGGUGGCAGUUGUCUGAGGAGAGAUGGCCAUUGGGGGGAUGGCCUGAAAGGGUUCAUCUUGUAUGCCAGUUCUUCCCUUGACUCUCUGUGCUUCCUCUCCACCAUGCCUUUCUGCCAUGCUCUCUUACCCUGGAGCCAACUGACGGUGGACUGAAACCUCUACAGACUAUUUACAUCUCCUGCUGAGAUCUGUUAUCUAUGAAAGAUGACAGUCUGGAUCAAAAGUGAUACAGAAGGCCCCACCUCAUCACAUGUGCAGAUUAUAUUCAUUGCAAGAGCAAAUGAAGUGGCAUACAGAAAAUUGAAGUGAAAUACAAAAACUGCCAGACUGCUUACAACUCUACAUUUGCCUUAGUUGAACACAGUUUGAAUCAUUGGAUGCCUAUGGUUGACUGCAGAGCAGCUUCUGUGACUGGCUGAGACUCAGCUAUUUAUUACAAAGCCAAAUUUCAAGAUAAGUGAUAUAUUGCAGUCCCAAUGAGAGUCCCUAAGUCAGAUUAAAAAGAGAAAGAAAGAAGACUAAGAAAUGAAAAAUUUUCUUUAUCAAAGAUUUAUGGACUCUUCCACUUUUAUCUGAAGCAACCUCUCCUCAAUUGCCUUAAUGAAUGUAUUUUCUUGUAACUAAUCAGAACACAGCCAUUCUCGAAGUACAUUUAUUUAGAAGACAGGUAAUAAUCCAUUUAGUGGUAAACUAAACUCAUC